UAAAAUACAGCUAAAAGCCCGAAGAGAGAUGACAUACUCACCGUCUUAACGCGUGUGAACAGGAAGGUCAACAACCAUUGUUUGAUACCUAGUAGGCAGAUGCCAGAGCCCAAAUACACUCUCACCAAGAGGCUCGUCUUGAGAUUUGUUUGAACUGUCUGGAACCGUGCCUACGUAUUAAAUGAUCUGAUGUGCGCUGGACUCUAGUUUACAAGUGUGUCUGGAUAUGAGUCUUUGAGUUUCUGAAUGGUUCUGUUUGAUAGGUGAAUUUUUGCAUUUUGGUCAAUCGAACAUAAAAGUUGUCAUAGAAUCACAUAUUUUGAAAUGUAUGAAAUAAAUCGAUAAGAAAAUGAAAAAAGGUC
Molecule: long non-coding RNA, 362 nt
Organism: Xiphophorus hellerii (green swordtail)
Lineage: Eukaryota; Metazoa; Chordata; Actinopteri; Cyprinodontiformes; Poeciliidae
Exons: 3
Source: RefSeq, a predicted model, not a curated record